This is a non-coding RNA of Schistosoma haematobium, 45 nucleotides long. The record is from Rfam. NCBI's taxonomy places the organism in Eukaryota, Metazoa, Platyhelminthes, Trematoda, Strigeidida, Schistosomatidae.
AUCUAGCUACCGAGUCGCAAAUACGACGAAACGCGCGUCCUUGAU